GCCACGCUCCCACUCGGCCCCGCCCACUUCCCCGAGGGCUCGCCCUCUCCCCUGGCGCCCUCGGGCCCCGCCCGGAGCGGCCGCUGCAGAACGUUGGCCAAUAGUGGGCCGGUAAAGGACGGAGGCGGGGCGAAUGCUAAUCACUUCGCCUUGAGAACCUGGGCGGGAAGCCCGGGCUUGAGGUCCCUCUGAGCUCCUGGCACGCGCUCGCUUCCUCCUGGGGCGCCACUGCUGCGAACCUCUGCUCCCGAGACCCCACUGAGGCUCCGGUCUGCGUCCUAGGGCGCUGUGUAAAAACUACAGUCCCCUCUGUCUCCCUCCUGCGCUCUUGUAUUGGGCAAAGAGCCAAUACUUAGCCCCUACCUUGUGCUCAACAUCCCCUAAUCGACACUAACGCAAAACCUGAGACCCUUACAGUUGCGAGACCAGUGCGCGUCACAGCCGUUCAGCAAACCUCGAAUUUCUGAACUGAAGAUCUUGUUGCCAUUUUGAACAUUUUUCUACAGAGCCUAACUGAUGAAAUUCAGCUGAGAGUUGAAGGGUCCUGGGAUUUCAGGCACACACCACCAUGUAUGUUCUUUACUCUCUUGAACCCUGGGGCAGAAAUGGCAUGCUGCAUACAGACAGCGUCGGCAGAUGUGAGUGACAGCUGAGGUGGUACCGAGCGCUUGCACACAGCCUUGGCACGUGACCUGUGUGUCUCAGCUGGGCCCAACUCUGUUCCCUGCAGCAGCAUUGGGUCCAAACUCUGGCUUUGCCCUUACUGACUGUGCCCCUUGGGUCUUCCCAGUUUUCGGUGUUCUCUUUGGUAUGUUACUUUAACAAUGCAAAGAAACAUGAUUUUCAGGUGUGCUGUAUUUCUGAGCAUGUGCUAUGAUGCCAGCUGUGUUUAGCGCGUGGCUGUUACUGAGUUCAAUCCGAAGCACAGACGGUCUCGCUUGCCUGGGAUCGAAGUGCGCGCACCUGACAUCAGCAGCCAUUGUGUGUACAGGAGCCUGCACAGCCAGGGACCCUAACAUCUGCCAUGAGCUCAGCAUCUUCCCGUCCUAUCAGCCUCGAGCGGGUGAGAAGCCAGCGCGCUAACCUCAGAACCGUUUGCAGUUCCACAGCGUGGUAAGUGGACGAAUUCGGCUGUGACCCUCCGUCCUCCUCCCGCACCAUGGUGGGGGUAACAGGAGAGGAAAACUGCGCCGCCCCCCCCCCCUUAGUCAGUGCCUCCCAGCUACGGUUUAACUGCCUAGGAAGCCGAAGAACCCCGCGCCUGACCCGCUCUUAAGUGGGGAUUUCUGGCCGAGGAUCCAGAUAUUAGGGUUUUUUCUUGUUCUUUUUGUUGCUGUUUAACCGUGAGGUGAUUCUGAUUUUCACUAGGCUUGAGAACCCUGGAAAGCUGUUUUGGGUGUGGUGCCUAGCUAGGUCUUUUGCCAAAAAGGGAUUAACAGCUGGGUGUGGUGUUGCAUCCCUGCACUCCUGGUACUCUGGGAGGCUGAUGCCUGAGGGCUGCAAAUGCUUUCUCAGCAACACUGCCAUGCAGGGGAAGGAGGUGGGCUGGGGAUGCAGCUCCAGGUGCGGGCCCUGGGUUCAAGUUCCAGCACCACAAAUAAUAGUAAUAUGAAAAAUUAAUCACAUUGGUGUGGGAAGUGGCGUCUUCCCAGAGAAGGAACAGACCCGCGCUCUGGGCACCUGAGUCUGCUUGGGUGGCAGGUAAAAUUGUGGGGAGCAGUGGAAUUGUGGUAAAAAUGUAUUAGCAGUAAUAAAAACCAUAAUACCAGCAAAAGAGGGGUGCUGAGGGUUUCCUGUAUGUGUUUCACAUAAUCUGUGCUCACCUUCUUACAUAUGUCACCUCUCUUACCCCAGGGAGCUUGUGAGGUAUAUAUCUAUCUUUAAAUUUUAUUUUAAAGAGAGAAAAACAAAAAUAAAAACAGUAAUAUAGUUUCAAAACGGGGUAAGAAAUUAACAAUGGGCCGGGCAUGGUGGCUCACGUAAUCCCAGCACUUGGGAGGCUGAAGUGGGAGGAUCGUUGUAAGUUCAAGACCAGCUUGGGCUACAAAGUGAGCUCAAGGCCAGCCUGAACUGCAUAGCGAGACCCUGUCUCAAAAAAAAAAAAAAAAGAAAUUAACAGUGGUUAAUAUAUUGCAUAUUGUUGUCUUCAGUGAACUAGAAAAAUUAGUAUAAUUGUAUAUUUAUGUGAAAUACAAGUAGAUAGAUGUUUAUUUUCUUUUUCCUUCAUUUCUCCUUCCUCUUAUCCCAGUUGUUCUUUCCUUGUGAGCAGUUCCUUUCCCUUCCCCAGUAUCUAUCGAAGAUUUUGUAUCUUAGUUUCUUACACUAGGGAGACAAGAUGAUGCUUACCAGGCACAUCUGAUCUAUUUUACUUGUGAGUAUGGCCUCUGUCUGCAUCCAUUUACCUAUGAAAGCCUCAAAUUCAUCCUUCUUUAUAGCUGAGUAGUGCUCCAUUGUAUAAAAACCCAUCUGUGAGGUUAUGUCUGAGGGUGAAGAAACAGGCUUAGGUCAGCCAAGUAGCUCAGCACGUCUUCCCUCUUGUAUUUCCCUGACUUCAGGGCCUGUGCCCACCGCAGGCCUUGCUGUGGGCCUGGCAGCCAGCAUGAACCAUGCACGGGGUCCUGGGCCCGCCAGCUGCAGAGCGGGGUCCCCGUCCACCUCGCCCCUCUUGGAAGUUAAGUGGAAUCUGCAGCUGUGGCGUGGGCCUUGCGUGCAGAGGUCCAGUGCAGGGAAGCCAGAGCCCCAGCUUCCUGCGAGCCAGUAGAGAACUCCGCCUGCAGCCAGUCCCGGUUUCACAGCGCAGCCCGGGGCGCCCCUCGCUCCGCCUGCAGCACCUCUGGGUUCCUGGCAGAGGCAGCUGCAGGUUGCUGAGCAUUGAUUCUGAGCCAGCGUCGAGCUGGGCACUGGCACCGGGAGCCUACGCAGGGAAGGCCAUGAGGACGGAGCAGGGCCUGGGGAGGCCCCAGGCUUGCUGGAUGGCCAAGUGCGAGCCUUGGCACUCCGGGGUUUGCCGCAGGAAAUCGGAACACUUAGCGUUCAAGCGGAGAAAGCUUUGGGGCUGAACCGGGCUGGGAUGCACCCAGCUGCUGGAUAGCUGGAGGGGCAGAGGUCGGAGGGCGCACACCACAGUGGCCAUGAUGUGGGAGUCAGGGUGGCACUUCCACUGCCACUGCAUACUGUGUCCCCCCAAACAGGACCUAGUCUUACAUUAAUUUUUGCUCCAACAGAUGCAGUGGGGCUUAUUUUCAGGGAAUGGCUUAUGUUUUCAUAUGCAACAAUCUACCUUUAUUCAUUUAUUCAUGUACAGAAGUCUACAUUUAUCCACAUACAGGCAUGGCUCCAUCUUCCAGAACAUUGGCGUGAGUCUCCAGACCCCGAGUCCGGCUCGCUGUGCUUGUGGUUCCAUUCCUGGUACAGCCAUUGCCCCAGUCUCGUGGGCAGCGAUCCGGGUCUGCAUGAGGGCUUCGGUCCCAUGGCCUGCUUACAGUACGUGGUGCCAGCACAUAACACACUGAAGGAGGGAGGUGCGCCUUAGCCGCAGCCUUGUCCACCCCUUCCAAGCACGCUUGUGGCUCCUGUGGCACGUCUGGGCUCCCACCCGUCACUGGGCAGUGAGUCUCUGGCUCAUCUGUUUGCACAGGUGUUUAUCUCUUAUCCAGGGGCACCCACUUGGGUAUUUAUAAAUAAUUAUAAUUUAUGUUGUCAUUUAUUUUAAAUAUUAAUGUUAAGCCAGGCAUGGUGGUGCAUGCCUGUAAUCCCAUCACUCGGGAGGCUGAUGCAGGAGGAUUGUUGUAAGUUCAGGACCAGCAUGGGUUACAAAGUGAGCUCCAGGCCAGCUUUAACUGCAUAAUGAGACCCUGUCUCAAAAAGACAAAGAAAAAAAUUAGUAUCAAUAAUAUUUAUAGUUAACUGUAUUAACAUUGCUAUUUUAUGACUUAGUACCUCCGUUGUCUGUUACAGUGUACCUGCUAAAUGCACUGAUAUUUUGACCAUCUUCACUGGGGCUUAUUUUGGGGUAGGGCUUAUAUUAAAAGCAUCUUGGAAAAUC
This is a long non-coding RNA of Cavia porcellus (domestic guinea pig), 4045 nucleotides long. RefSeq lists it as uncharacterized. The transcript has 3 exons. The record is from RefSeq and is a predicted model, not a curated record. NCBI's taxonomy places the organism in Eukaryota, Metazoa, Chordata, Mammalia, Rodentia, Caviidae.